This is a long non-coding RNA of Anthonomus grandis grandis, 1409 nucleotides long. RefSeq lists it as uncharacterized. The transcript is spliced from 3 exons. NCBI's taxonomy places the organism in Eukaryota, Metazoa, Arthropoda, Insecta, Coleoptera, Curculionidae. The record is from RefSeq and is a predicted model, not a curated record.
UCUGCAAACAGACACCCCGGGCCGGCCCGGGGUAGUGUGGGGUUGAGGCUUUUUCUAACCCCGACCCACUAAAAACCAUUCCUCUAAGUCAAUUCACGGUAAAAGGUAAAAGCACACUGAUACAUGCUUGGUCAAUUUUAUUCAGGGAAGCACACUGAUAAAUGCUUGGUCAAUUUUAUUUAAGGAAGCACACUGAUACACGCUUGGUCAAUUUUUCACGGUAAAAGGUAAAAGCACACUGAUACAUGCUUGGUCAAUUUUUUCAGGGAAGCACACUGAUACAGGCUUGGUCAAUUUUAUUCAGGAAAGCACACUGAUACACGCUUGGUCAAUUUUUCACGGUAAAAGGUAAAAGCACACUGAUAUAUGCUUGGUCAAUUUUAUUCAGGGAACCACACUGAUACAGGCUUGGUCAAUUUUAUUCAGGGAAGCACACUGAUACAGGCUUGGUCAAUUUUAUUUAAGGAAGCACACUGAUAAAUGCUUGGUCAAUUUUAUUUAAGGAAGCACACUGAUACAUGCUUUGUAAAUUUUUCACGGUAAAAGGUAAAAGCACACUGAUACAUGCUUGUUCAAUUUUAUUCAGGGAAGCACACUGAUAAAUGCUUGGUCAAUUUUAUUUAAGGAAGCACACUGAUACAUGCUUUGUAAAUUUUUCAAGGUAAAAGGUAAAAGCACACUGAUACAUGCUUGGUCAAUUUUAUUUAGGGAAGCACACUGAUAAAUGCUUGGUCAAUUUUAUUUAAGGAAGCACACUGAUACAUGCUUUGUCAAUUUUUCACAAUAAAAGGUAAAAGCACACUGAUACAUGCUUGGUCAAUUUUAUUCAGGGAAGCACACUGAUACAGGCUUGGUCAAUUUUAUUCAAGGAAGCACACUGAUACAUGCUUUGUAAAUUUUUCACGGUAAAAGGUAAAAGCACACUGAUACAUGCUUUGUCAAUUUUAUUUAAGGAAGCACACUGAUACAUGCUUGAUCAAUUUUAUUUAAGGAAGAACACUGAUACAUGCUUUGUCAAUUUUUCACGGUAAAAGGUAAAAGCACACUGAUACAUGCUUGGUCAAUUUUAUUCAGGGAAGCACACUGAUAAAUGCUUGGUCAAUUUUAUUUAAGGAAGCACACUGAUACAUGCUUUGUCAAUUUUUCAAGGGCUUCAGCUCAUUUUCUAUAUGUUAGUUAGUUAAUUCAAGUCAAGUCACGUCAAGUUAUAAUAUGUUUAAAUAAGAUAAAUAAACUGAAAACAUAGUUUUUAAAAUCUAAAAAUGGCGCUUUCAAAUUAUGAAAAUUAACAUAUCAAACGAAAUUUAUACAUCACAAAUAUCUUUGCUGCUUAUCUACCAUUGGAUAUUAAUUCCUUUAGAUUUGAUUAAAUUUAAGUCAUAAAAAUCCGUAUAUCAAUUAUAAUAUGA